GUUCGAAGAAGCGUGAGUCUGUAUGAAGGGGGUGGGGGCCUAUUUAAUUUUUUUUUUGUAUGUCGUUUGCUGAAUAAUUCAUAUUUAAGAAGUAGGACUAUUAGCAUGCUCCAGAUAUACUGUUUGUCUGUUUGCUAACAUUCUUCAUUCAAGACUUGUUAACUGCCAGACGAGCUUAACACGCUUCUUGCUCUGCCUCCCUGCCUCUCCGUCUUUCUGAUGUCUUUUAUGCCAGCCCUCAAAGCCUUCUGUCGUUGCUGGGUGCUAGUAGCCAAGGGGUAGUGGUGGCAGGGGGAACGCACACUGCCGAGGAUCUCAUGCUAGCUGCUAGGAGGCUGCAAGGUGAACACAUUUGGGCUGGUGUGCCCUCCUCCUCCUCCUCCGUCCGAUGCUCCAGGAGGCUUCCCACCUUCACAUGGGUCACAUUGACGAUGAGACCUCAGAGGACCACAGAGGAGUGUGCAGAAAUCUGCAACCGAGUGAACUCCAGAUAUCUCAUGACUGACCGUGAAUGACGUUUGGAAAAAUUUAUCUGGUCUAAUAUAGGCGAUGUACAUUGGAAAACAGUGUGGUAAGCUAGCCCUGCAUGGUAAGUAUAAUAUUCCCUUUUUGGGACCCACACACUCCUUUUCUUUCAGAUUUUGAUAGGAUUCAACUAAUUCAGAUGGGCAAAUACAGGCCAGGACGCAGAGAUCAGUGUCUUCCAAUUAUUGAUGUAUAAGUGAUUUUUCUGAUCAUUUUGAACUGCUGUUAACAACUACAAAUGUGGCGUGAUUAUUAGAAAUUAUCUAUUAAUUAUAUUACACCCGAGAGUAAAUGUCAGAAGUGGGGUACGCAGGGUCUCUUCAUAAAUCCACUGAACAGGGCGCAUUUCAGAAUUAAAUAUUAUAUAUUACACAAAUAACAUACAUACAUAUGACACACAUAGGACUCUAGAAUAUGGCCUAAUUUGCUACAGGGGGUUUAACGGCCGGCACUCGUAAUUCAGUAGAGGUGCCACUGUUUUCCCUUUUCCCCAUAAUCUCCCUAUGUUGUCUCAGAGCUCUACUUUCUGACUUGUUGGGGUUUCACAAACCUCUCCCAAUUCAACAGCAUGUGGGGAUGGUCUAGUGGCAAGGGGUGUGACAUCAUUAAUAUUAGAUAUGGCAUCACUGGUGCCGUAACCAGGUCUUGAAAGGAGGGAUAAUAUCAUAUACAUUCAUACUCCUGUGCUAGGAACAACUGAUAAAAUAUAAGGUUUAUUUUAUUAUUUGUAAUGUCUAUUUUUAUAGCUCCCCUAUAUUAAACAGCUCUGCAGAGCAGCAAUUAGGGGGGUCUUCAGGGACUGGAGUCCCGGGCCCUUACAGAAAGGGGGCCCACCAUUCAUGCAGGUCUGCAAUGCUCCACCUGUAUGUAACGUCACAAUGUGUGACAUCACAUAGGGGUGGAGUGUUGCGGGGUAAGGGUGGGGGGAUGUCUGUUUGUCACUCCCAGGCCCCACAAUUUCUGAUGGCAGCCCUACAGCUUUGAAUAUUUCAUCAUUUACAUCAGUCCUUGUCCCAUUGGAGCUCCCUGGCUAAAUUAUUUGUCAUAUACAGUAAAUACAUGCACAGUAUUAGGGACAUGUAUCAAGCGUGAGACAGAGGUAAAGUGCAGAAGUUGCUGACAGCAACCAAUCAGCUUAUAGCUAUCCUACUGUGUCUAGUACUAUCUAUAAAAUGCCAACUGGUUGCUGAUUGGUAGCUAAAGGAGAAACGCGUCAGCAGUUGCAUGUCCUGCUCUGUAAUAUAUGUUGCCAAAUUAUGUAUUCAUCCUAUGUAAGAAUAACCUCUACAUUUUAUAUUUUGUUUCCAAAACGCAUGUUCUCAAGAGCUGACUCUCUACCCGAGGCUGACUGUCCUUUGGGGUGAGGUAGUAGGUUGUUUAGUUUUGGGGUCUAUCCCUGAGUGUCAGAUAACUAUACAAUCUACUGUCUUUCCUGAAGUGGCUGUGAUUUCUUCAAUGGAGGAACAAGACUAUCGUUCGUUCUUGAUGUACGCAAUGCGUCGCUGUCUAAUGGAAGUGGAACUCUUUCUAUUAACCAUGUGCUCUACGACGCAUUGUCCUGUUAUUCCCCAGUACGACGCGCAGUUGCAAGAUGGAGAAAUUAUGAUUGCAAACUAAUAUCAAAGUCUUAUUGUCAAUUAUUCGUGUUUCUCUCCGGAAGUAAAACAUUGCAGUUAUUCCUCUUUACAAAGCACGGAUGUGAUUUCUGCAUUCUCUGAGAUUACCUAGGAACUGAGUAGUGUUCCCAGUAGAUUAUCUAGGAGCUAAGGUCUAUCCGCAGAGGUUUAAGGUGAGUGAUUCAGUGCUGCCGAUUCCCCAGACGUUUGUUAAAGUCUUAUCUCUCUCUCUCGAGCUGUCUCAGCGGGGUGAGGUAGUAGGUUGUGUGGUUUCAGGGUAGUGUUUUUUUGUUGCCCCAAUCAGGAGUUAACUAUACAACCUACUGCCUUCCCUGACGGGCAGCAUGGCGUCCAAACACCCCCCUCCCCUCCCCCUCCUUACAAGCCUAAUGUCGCUUUUCUAUAGAAAACCACAAGUAUGUAACACCAAAACAUUAUAACGCCCCUGGCAGUGGCCACUCGAUAAUGCAUUUUGUAUUAUGUCAGCUCAGUGUGAUUACAAGCCGUGUAUUUUGUUUGGAAGCCGCUUACUGUUUCCCUCUGUGCAGUUAAGAAAAAAUAAAAAUCAAUAAAGAUAUGAAAUUUUGAAAAUA
Long non-coding RNA from Pseudophryne corroboree (corroboree frog), 2734 nucleotides. RefSeq lists it as uncharacterized. NCBI's taxonomy places the organism in Eukaryota, Metazoa, Chordata, Amphibia, Anura, Myobatrachidae. The record is from RefSeq and is a predicted model, not a curated record. The transcript is spliced from 5 exons.